This 65-nucleotide transfer RNA is filed under the name Catomerus polymerus. Its description in RNAcentral is "tRNA-His". The record is from RNAcentral. Lineage: Eukaryota; Metazoa; Arthropoda; Thecostraca; Balanomorpha; Catophragmidae.
GUUUAAAUAGUUUAAUAAAAAAUUUAGGUUUGUGGUACCUAAGAUGUAGAUUUCUAUUUUAGACA